GAUGAACGCUGGCGGCGUGCCUAAUACAUGCAAGUCGAGCGAAUGGAUUAAGAGCUUGCUCUUAUGGAGUUAGCGGCGGACGGGUGAGUAACACGUGGGUAACCUGCCCAUAAGACUGGGAUAACUCCGGGAAACCGGGGCUAAUACCGGAUAACAUUUUGAACCGCAUGGUUCGAAAUUGAAAGGCGGCUUCGGCUGUCACUUAUGGAUGGACCCGCGUCGCAUUAGCUAGUUGGUGAGGUAACGGCUCACCAAGGCAACGAUGCGUAGCCGACCUGAGGGGGUGAUCGGCCACACUGGGACUGAGACACGGCCCAGACUCCUACGGGAGGCAGCAGUAGGGAAUCUUCCGCAAUGGACGAAAGUCUGACGGAGCAACGCCGCGUGAGUGGUGAAGGCUUUCGGGUCGUAAAACUCUGUUGUUAGGGAAGAACAAGUGCUAGUUGAAUAAGCUGGCACCUUGACGGUACCUAACCAGAAAGCCACGGCUAACUACGUGCCAGCCGCCGCAGUAA
This 515-nucleotide ribosomal RNA is filed under the name uncultured bacterium. RNAcentral's name for it is "partial 16S ribosomal RNA". It matches the Rfam family "Bacterial small subunit ribosomal RNA", at positions 28 to 523 of the family's 1533-position model. The record is from RNAcentral.